AUAAUCUUGGUUUGACCAUAUCUUUAUUUGAUUUUUCUAUCCUUCUUCCAGGAUUGUACACUGAAUGCAAGCAGCCAGACCAAGCCCUCUGAUGUGGCCAGGAACAAGGACUGGUCUGUGUAUAUAUUUAUUGGUGAUAUACGGACCUCAGAUCUGAUACUGGACCAGGAUCAAAAAUCUCUCUGGAUGAACUCAGGAUUUCUGACAUUUGCUCCAGGAGCAGUGUCAGAAUUGGUUUCUGGAGUCAGAUACACACUGAGUUCUCAUUCUUCCAAUGAUAGACUCCACAAGAAUGACUUUCUUCUCUUGAAAUUCAGUUACAAAAUUCAGGAAACAUCAUGUACCUUCCAAGGAUGUUGUAAGGAGAUACUCAUCUAGCACAGGGCAGGUCAGUAAAUCGGUAGCUGUUGUCUUUAGUAAUAAAUUUGGUAACUGUCUUGGGCCA
RNAcentral lists this long non-coding RNA (445 nucleotides) under Oryctolagus cuniculus (rabbit). Its description in RNAcentral is "lncRNA (ENSOCUG00000031358.1)". Lineage: Eukaryota; Metazoa; Chordata; Mammalia; Lagomorpha; Leporidae. The record is from RNAcentral.